AUAUAAAGAUAACAACAAAAAUAGCUGAUAAGAGUUUAAUUCAACCCUUUAUCGGGCGAAGAACCGUAUUUGGUAACUUCAGCUGAUAUCCAAAAUAAAAAAUAAAAAUAUUUCGAGAAAAAAAGUUGCAAAUUUAGAUUAAAGUGGCAAAUCUACAAGAAAAAAAGCAGCAGAUUUAAGAGAUUUAAAGUGGCAAAUCUGUGCGAAAAAAGUCACAGAUUUACAGGAAAAAAGCUACUUUUUUUUCUUGCAGAUUCACCAAUUUAAAGCUCAUAAAUCUGCACAUUUUUUUUCUUUUUUUGCCACUUUAAUCUCGUAAAUUUAUUUCUCACAAUAUUACCUCCCUCCCCCAGGUCCAUAUGUGUUUUUACACAUUCUGGCAGUGUGUAAUAUUCUCCAAUAUUAUAUAUCAGCUCUUAAAUUAAACUCUUAUCAGCUAUUUUUGUUGUUAUCAUUAUAUUUGUCCAAACAAAUGUACCUUUAGUUGUACCAGGCAUUAAAAUGAACAAGAAAUUGAAGAAAAAGGCUGAUCUAAUCAUUUUUUCCAUGAUGGUAAAUGCUCAUUUUGGGGGUUGAAGUACUUUUUUUUAACUUGACAUUUUUUCAUGAUGAUCAAAAAGAGGUAACACUUUACAAUAACCAACUGAGUGAUGUUUAUAGAUGGUUUAUAGACCAAUUAUUAACCAUUUACAAAGUGCUAUAUACAUAUUUAAUCUUUAAAUGUUUUCAACCAAUUUCUUAAAGGUAUAUGACUCAUUUAAAAAAUCAUUAACAUACUUAAUAUGGUGUUAAAAAUGUUAAAAUGAGUGCAACUAAAACUAUUAAGAAACUAUUAAAUAUAAUGGAAUUGUUUGUUAAUGGCAAAGUAGCGAUAAACUUACAUUAAUAUACCAUCUAUUUGUCAUUUAUAAAAGAUUUAGUUAGUUAAAUAUUCAUAAAUUAUGUAUUUCCCAUUCUAAAUGGUCUAUAUACAGUUUAUAAAUGAUGAUUAAACAUUAAUACACUAUCUGUUUACCAUUUAUAAAUUAUGGUUAUUGUUAAGUGUUACCCAAAAAGAUAAUUCAAAAGUUGUUCGACCUGAAAGUCGACUUACAACAAGCUGUGUUUGUGCCAAUGAAGUGAGAUUCCAGCAUUGUACUUUUUUCAAAUCUUACACAUAGUGGCUUUAAAAAUAGAUCUAUUUGAAGACUGAAUAAUGACAGAAUGACUUGAUAUAAUGAGCAGUUGAGGAUCAUGCAGACAGAUGUUUAGGAAGCCAAACAGUCAGUUUUGUUUCUCUUUAAGUGGCACUUUGAGCCAGAACGUGCAGCAUGUGGCUCCGUUUCUUUUGUCCUGCAGCUUUAAUUUUAAGAGUCUCGACCAGAAAACCCCCCGUAGCUCCCUGUGACCUUUCACCCCCUCUCAUCUGCAGAUUUGAGUCAUUAAAUGGAAAUUAAUUGAAAUUUUCCCCCUCAAAAUGUAAAGGCACAGUUUAACCCCUUAAACCAGGGGUGUCAAACUCAAAUACACAAUGGGCCAAAAUGUAAAACUUGAAUAAAAUCGCGGGCCAACAUUGAACAAAUAAACCUUUUAAUAUAUACCAAACAUGUUUUGCUUUAACAUUAAAUAUGGAACCAGCAACGCUUAUAAACAUACAAUAUAUAACUAAAUAGUGCAGACAUGCAAAAUCAAAUUUCAAAUAAAAAACACAUCAAUGUCAUUAAUUUAUUAAAUAAAAAUUAAAUAAAAAUCGUGACAAAAUGACAAAAAAACACACAAAAUGACUAGAAAAAAGACACAAAAUAACAAAAAGACGCAGAAUUUAUUAAUUUAUUAAAAAUUAAAUAAAAAUCGUAUGCCUCUUUUCUAUUUGCAUCCUUCUGAUUUAAAUAUCAAAAUAAACUUUUUCAACAGGUUAAUACAUUUAAAAAUAAAAUAACAAUAAUAAAUCUAGUAUUAGCGGUAAAUGUGCCGUAUAAUACCGGCGGGUCAGCUUUUAUUGUACAAUAAUAAUAAGAUAAUAAUUUGGUAUUGCCUCGCGGGCCAAAUAAAAUUACACUGCGGGCCAAAUUUGGCCCGUGGGCCAGAGUUUGACACCCCUGCCUUAAACAGAGCCUAAAUGUGUCAAAGUCGCCUCUGACUGCACUGAAAAAAGAACUUAAUUGAAUUGUUUCAUUUGGUAACACCUAAAUAAAUUAAGUUCUUUCAAAAUUAAUUUAAUAAGUUACAUUAACACAAUUGAAUUUAAUUGAAAGAAAUUAAUUUGAAAGAACUUAACUCAUUUAGGUGUUACCAAAUGAAACAAUUCAAUUCUUUGAAUUUUUUUUUCUUUUUUCAGUGUGACAAAAUGACCCUUUUUUCUCCACUUUUCUCCUCAUGCAGUGAUUUGGAAGUUGCCAUAUGAUUUCACCAUCGUUAUGUUUUAUAUUGUAAAUAUUGUACAGACACACCCACCACUGCCUCAGAGAACAGGAAGAUAAACACUAUGACUGUGUCAGUGUUAAACACUCAGAUUAAAUAGAGGAGUUUUUUUUUUAUAUAUAGCGUAAAGGGCUGCUUCUAUUCUGCUUCUUUCUUUCUUUUAUUUGGUGGGAUAGUAGAACACAACUUGCCCUGGUAGACUGCUGUUAAACUAUAUGCUUCUCUUUUUGUAUUUUUUUUUAUUUGGUUAUUUGUGGGGAAUGAUGAUGAUGAGUUCAGAUGAAGAUCCUCCUCCUGUGAGUCUUAAAAAGAAGUUCUUCUGAUCUAAAAGCUGUGUGUUAAUGAGAGGGAGGCAGCAGGAAGCUGAGACCAGGAGACAGAAUGUAAAUGUUGGUUUGGUUCUGACUCAUGUGUUGAGUCACCAUGUGAGAGCCAGAUGUUCAUCCUCGCCUUUCUUUAUUUAUCGUUUAUUUUUAGCCGAUUCUGAGUGUCAGACAGACAGAAACAGACUCAGCGGGGUCAGAUUGUUGGUUAAAAGGAGUUUUUUUUAAAUGCUUUCGCAUGUUUUGGCUCAUUAACUACAAUUCAGGCGUAGUUUAUACCACAACCAAAACAUUUUUUUUCUCCAUAUGUUCACAAAAAUCUGAUUUACAGAUUGAAACUUGCUUAAAAUUUGGGCGUCCAACAGUCACUAAAGGUGGGAAACAAAAGUCAAAUAAAAUGUGAAAAAUAUAGUUUGGGUAUAUGUAAAUAAAUUAACCCUAUAAAGCCAAAUGUAUCAUAUUUGUUACACAAUAACUUAUUUGAAAAUUUGUCAGUUGUCAUUUUAUUACAUUUCAUACAUUAUGCAUUAAAUAAAGCAACAUACAGUCUUUUUCUCAUUUAGGUAAACUAGGUAAAGGUUUAACUGACAUAAUUAGGUAUAUUUAGAGUAAAAUUGAGAUAUCUCUCGAAUAAUUCAAAGAAAAAAACAUUUUUUUGGUGUGUAUUUUUAGGUGGCAAAAAAAUUGAGCAUUGAUGAUGUGUAGGAGAUAAACUGAGCAACAAAUUGCACAAAAAUACCAGAUGUAGCAAAAAUGAAAUGCUGGUUCCACUGGUGGAUCUGUCAUUGCUGCAUGAAAACUUCAUAUCAGCAGAUGUAUUAUGAUGUUGUGUUAUAUGGAAAAAAAUAUUUUGUAUGUUUGAGGAAAAUGUUAAAAGGAAAGUCAAAGUUUUAAUAGGUUAAGAAUAUUAGGUUUUAUAUGUUUUUGUUAGUUCAAGAAAAACAAACUGUGAGCAACAAAUUGCACAAAAAGACCCAAUGUAUCAAAUAUGAUACAAAUUUCAUGGUUCAGGCUUUAUAGGGUUAACUGGUGUCAAUGCAAACAUUAAUUCAGUUAAAAGUGAAUAUAUUAGGUUGGUUCAAUUUAAAUGUAUUAGUUUGGUUCAAUAACUAAAAUGUUAAGAAAUAAUUUGGAUCAAGGCAAAGAAUUAAGGUUGAGUCAAGAGCAGUUUUAUUGUUUACAUCAACAUAAAAUAAUCAAAGUUACUCUAUUUAGAUUCUGUGAAGUCAGAUAUUUUAGAUGUGAUAUCUGGACAUCAUUUUUUUUAGUUUGAGCAAGGUUAUAAUUUUUUCCACCAUAUUAAUCUGUCUUCUAGCGACAAACAGGGCUGCAAGUUAUUUUUAUCAAGCAUUAAUCUGUUUGGUUUAUAAAAUGUCACAUUCAAAAUGAUAGAAAAAAGCACAAAGACUAAUGUGAAACCUUCAUGUUUUGUCUAACUCUCCAAAACUCUAAAGAUAUUUAGUUUGAAGCUAAAUUUAAAGAAUAGAGAAGAGGAGCAGAUCUUCACAUUUGAGAAGCUAAAUAAAGUGGAAAAAUAGUUAAUUAUCAAUAUAGUUUUAUUUAAAUUUUCUUGGUUUAUUUGUCUAUUUGGCGACAAUUACAAGUGUCCUCACACUGCCAAAUAAUUUGUCGAGUCAUUUGUUUUUUUGCAAGAUAGUCACCAACAUAUUUAUUGAAGUUAUGUUGAUCUAAUUAAUUUCCAAAUGUAACUUCUGUAUUACGCUGCUCCACAGCAGAUGUUUGUGAUUGGUCGGUUUUAGUGUCAAUCAGAAUUAUUGGCCAAAGUUGUAAUGUUUGGAAACUGUUAUUUACAAGCUCUUUGUUUACAGAAUGCUCCUCUGCCUCCUGUGUAUCUUUUCAUUGGAUUCUAUGCAGCGCUUUUGGGCUGUUGUCUCUUAUAUUUCUCAUCCAGUCUUGGUAAAACUGAAG
Centropristis striata (black sea bass) is the source of this 4652-nucleotide long non-coding RNA. RefSeq lists it as uncharacterized. The record is from RefSeq and is a predicted model, not a curated record. Lineage: Eukaryota; Metazoa; Chordata; Actinopteri; Perciformes; Serranidae. The transcript has 2 exons.